GACGAACGCUGGCGGCGUGCUUAACACAUGCAAGUCGAACGGAAAGGCCCUGCUUUUGUGGGGUUCUCGAGUGGCGAACGGGUGAGUAACACGUGAGUAACCUGCCCUUGACUUUGGGAUAACUUCAGGAAACUGGGGCUAAUACCGGAUAGGAGCUCCUGCUGCAUGGUGGGGGUUGGAAAGUUUCGGCGGUUGGGGAUGGACUCGCGGCUUAUCAGCUUGUUGGUGGGGUAGUGGCUUACCAAGGCUUUGACGGGUAGCCGGCCUGAGAGGGUGACCGGCCACAUUGGGACUGAGAUACGGCCCAGACUCAUACGGGAGGCAGCAGUGGGGAAUAUUGCACAAUGGGCGGAAGCCUGAUGCAGCAACGCCGCGUGCGGGAUGACGGCCUUCGGGUUGUAAACCGCUUUCGCCUGUGACGAAGCGUGAGUGACGGUAAUGGGUAAAGAAGCACCGGCGAACUACGU
Molecule: ribosomal RNA, 467 nt
Filed under: uncultured bacterium
Lineage: Bacteria
Description: partial 16S ribosomal RNA
Rfam family: Bacterial small subunit ribosomal RNA
Source: RNAcentral